CCCGCCGCCAUCUCAGGUCUCUUGGCCUUGCCAAGGUUCACGAGAGAAAACUGACGCCUGGGUCCCAUAAUCCUUAUGGGGGACCAACCGUGUGCCUCUGGGAGAUCUAAGCUCCCUCCUGGAAAUUCGCGGGAAGUUAAGCCUCCAAAAAAGCGUUGUCUCCUCACUCCGCGGUGGGAUUAUCCCGAAGGAACUCCCAACGGAGGUAGUACCUCUCUCCCCUCCGCACCUCCUCCUGCAUCAGCCGGCCUGAAGUCGCACCCUCCUCCUCCAGAGAAGUAGUGAAAUAAACUUCGCUGGUCACCAGUUUUUGAGGUGUUGCAGUAUGACUUCAUUUCCUUGGUGCAUUCAUAAAAUAAUUCACCCGUUGAAGACAAUGAAGAUUAUUUGCAAUGCUAACCAACUUUAUCUGAUGUCCUGCACCUAGAAGUUGUGAUUUUUAAGGACAAGGGGACCAGCAGAUGGCAUAAUGGUUACGUCACUGGAUUCCCAUGUGGUUGGGAC
This is an RNA transcript of Tupaia belangeri chinensis (Chinese tree shrew), 504 nucleotides long. It is a transcript of the gene named negative regulator of P-body association, with no coding region annotated. The transcript has 3 exons. The record is from RefSeq and is a predicted model, not a curated record. Lineage: Eukaryota; Metazoa; Chordata; Mammalia; Scandentia; Tupaiidae.